CGAUGUAUGUAUGUACAUGUAUGUAUGUAUGUAUGUAUGUAUGUAUGCAUGCAUGCAUGCAUGCAUGCAUGCAUGCAUGCAUGCAUGCAUGCAUGCAUGCAUGCAUGCAUGCAUGCAUGUAUGUAUGU
Non-coding RNA from Paramuricea clavata, 128 nucleotides. Lineage: Eukaryota; Metazoa; Cnidaria; Anthozoa; Malacalcyonacea; Plexauridae. The record is from the annotation of a GenBank genome assembly.